Molecule: ribosomal RNA, 425 nt
Filed under: uncultured bacterium
Lineage: Bacteria
Description: partial 16S ribosomal RNA
Rfam family: Bacterial small subunit ribosomal RNA
Source: RNAcentral
GUGGGGAAUAUUGCACAAUGGGGGAAACCCUGAUGCAGCGACGCCGCGUGAAGGAAGAAGUAUCUCGGUAUGUAAACUUCUAUCAGCAGGGAAGAUAGUGACGGUACCUGACUAAGAAGCCCCGGCUAACUACGUGCCAGCAGCCGCGGUAAUACGUAGGGGGCAAGCGUUAUCCGGAUUUACUGGGUGUAAAGGGAGCGUAGACGGUGUGGCAAGUCUGAUGUGAAAGGCAUGGGCUCAACCUGUGGACUGCAUUGGAAACUGUCAUACUUGAGUGCCGGAGGGGUAAGCGGAAUUCCUAGUGUAGCGGUGAAAUGCGUAGAUAUUAGGAGGAACACCAGUGGCGAAGGCGGCUUACUGGACGGUAACUGACGUUGAGGCUCGAAAGCGUGGGGAGCAAACAGGAUUAGAAACCCUUGUAGUCC